CCUGCCUGUCCGAAAAUUCACUUUUCUUGUUGUUCAGGAUUUUUAUCGCUUCGCUCCUUUUCAACCCUGAUGGCCCAUCACCACCCCUCGCACCCUGAAUCCGCCGGGUCCGCUCCUUUGUCUGUGAUUUCAAUUUCCAUUGAAACUGAAUCUAAUCACAUGCUCACUGCCUGCUGAUCCUGGGCCGCCUGGCCAGUCCUGGAUUCCUGUCCUAGGGGGUUGAACGAGGAACAAGGACCACGAAUAGCCGUCCAUAGCCCGUGCAUCCUAGUAUUUCGCCUAUAUGCCCAUAUACAGCAUAGCUCAGAGGAUGCCGCAUCUGCAUGGCAUUCUCUACGUGAGCGAGUUUGUGCGUUUGCGAGUUGCCUGGAAAUUAUGGUAUCGCAUUGUUCAAAGCUGGAACAAUGCCAUAAAUGGCACAUGCCAAAUAUUUUCGUUGGCAAAGGCAUAAGCUAGAAAAAGGUAUGG
This is a non-coding RNA of Drosophila melanogaster (fruit fly), 468 nucleotides long. Lineage: Eukaryota; Metazoa; Arthropoda; Insecta; Diptera; Drosophilidae. The record is from Ensembl.